Molecule: long non-coding RNA, 361 nt
Organism: Camelus dromedarius (Arabian camel)
Lineage: Eukaryota; Metazoa; Chordata; Mammalia; Artiodactyla; Camelidae
Exons: 3
Source: RefSeq, a predicted model, not a curated record
UCACGGAAGAAGCCAGGAACUGGAGCCCCCGCUGGGACCCUAGACAGCUGCUCGCUGCCCAAGCCCCCUGGGGGUUCAUCUCAGCUUCUCUCUGUGCACCUGUUCAUUCUUCUCUCUACGCCGGUUUCCCUGCUCCUCUCCGCUCACUGCCAGAAUGACCUCCCUCCUCUCUUGAAACCACCAGUCCUCGGGUGAAGGGCCAGCAGAGACGGACCUGACAGGCCAGGCUGCUACAGCGACCUCUGCCUCUGACCUUGGCCAAAUGAACACGUGUCUGUGCGACAUGACUGGUUGGCUUCAAGGCGGUUGGCAGAAUUCGUUUUGUGAGGAGACAAGAUCAAAGAAUGAAGCAAAACACAGC